The sequence is a regulatory RNA element, 47 nucleotides long. It matches the Rfam family "Ribosomal protein L19 leader". Rfam says of the family: This family is a putative r-protein leader autoregulatory structure found in B. subtilis and other low-GC Gram-positive bacteria. The record is from Rfam.
ACGAUGUUCCGCUGCAAUGGAAAAGAAAAUAUGUGCAUGAGCAUCUG